ACGUAGGACGCAAGCGUUAUCCGGAAUUACUGGGCGUAAAGGGCGUGCAGGCGGUUUCCUAAGUCAGGCGUGAAAGCCACGGGCUAAACCUGGGGAGGACGUUUGAUACUGGGGGACUAGAGUGUGGUAGAGGGGUGUAGAAUUCCGGGUGUAGUGGUGAAAUGCGUAGAGAUCCGGAGGAACACCAGAGGCGAAGGCGACACCCUGGGCCGUACCUGACGCUAAGACGCGACAGCACGGGGAGCGAACGG
This 251-nucleotide ribosomal RNA is filed under the name uncultured prokaryote. RNAcentral describes it as "partial 16S ribosomal RNA". It matches the Rfam family "Bacterial small subunit ribosomal RNA", at positions 525 to 775 of the family's 1533-position model. The record is from RNAcentral.